RNAcentral lists this ribosomal RNA (445 nucleotides) under uncultured bacterium. RNAcentral's name for it is "bacterial SSU rRNA". It matches the Rfam family "Bacterial small subunit ribosomal RNA", at positions 338 to 795 of the family's 1533-position model. The record is from RNAcentral.
CCUACGGGCCGCAGCAGUGGGGAAUAUUGCACAAUGGGCGCAAGCCUGAUGCAGCGACGCCGCGUGAGGGAUGACGGCCUUCGGGUUGUAAACCUCUGUUAGCAUCGAAGAAGCGAAAGUGACGGUAGGUGCAGAGAAAGCGCCGGCUAACUACGUGCCAGCAGCCGCGGUAAUACGUAGGGCGCGAGCGUUGUCCGGAGUUAUUGGGCGUAAAGAGCUUGUAGGCGGUUGCUCGCGUCUGCUGUGAAAGGCCGGGGCUUAACUCCGGUUUUGCAGUGGGUACGGGCUAACUAGAGUGCAGUAGGGGAGACUGGAAUUCCUGGUGUAGCGGUAGAAUGCACAGAUAUCAGGAGGAACACCGAUGGCGAAGGCAGGUCUUUGGGCUGUAACUGACGCUGAGAAGCGAAAGCAUGGGGAGCGAACAGGAUUAGAUACCCUUGUAGUC